RNAcentral lists this ribosomal RNA (257 nucleotides) under uncultured bacterium. RNAcentral's name for it is "partial 16S ribosomal RNA". It matches the Rfam family "Bacterial small subunit ribosomal RNA", at positions 524 to 776 of the family's 1533-position model. The record is from RNAcentral.
UACGAAGGGUGCAAGCGUUACUCGGAAUUACUGGGCGUAAAGCGCACGUAGGCGGUUCGUUAAGUCGGAUGUGAAAGCCCUCGGCUCAACUGAGGAAGUGCACCCGAAACUGGCGAGCUUGAGUACGAAAAGAGGAUCGCGGAAUUCCCCGGUGUAGAGGUGGAAAAUUCGUAGAUAUCGGGAGGAACACCGGUGGCGAAGGCGGCGACCUGGUCCUUAACUGACGCUGAGGCGCGAAAGCGUGGGGAGCAAACAGG